RNAcentral lists this ribosomal RNA (465 nucleotides) under Vreelandella stevensii. RNAcentral describes it as "partial 16S ribosomal RNA". It matches the Rfam family "Bacterial small subunit ribosomal RNA", at positions 338 to 795 of the family's 1533-position model. Lineage: Bacteria; Pseudomonadati; Pseudomonadota; Gammaproteobacteria; Oceanospirillales; Halomonadaceae. The record is from RNAcentral.
CCUACGUGAGGCUGCAGUGGGGAAUAUUGGACAAUGGGCGAAAGCCUGAUCCAGCCAUGCCGCGUGUGUGAAGAAGGCCUUCGGGUUGUAAAGCACUUUCAGUGGGGAAGAAAGCCUUGGGGCUAAUACCCUCGAGGAAGGACAUCACCCACAGAAGAAGCACCGGCUAACUCCGUGCCAGCAGCCGCGGUAAUACGGAGGGUGCGAGCGUUAAUCGGAAUUACUGGGCGUAAAGCGCGCGUAGGCGGUCUGAUAAGCCGGUUGUGAAAGCCCCGGGCUCAACCUGGGAACGGCAUCCGGAACUGUCAGGCUAGAGUGCAGGAGAGGAAGGUAGAAUUCCCGGUGUAGCGGUGAAAUGCGUAGAGAUCGGGAGGAAUACCAGUGGCGAAGGCGGCCUUCUGGACUGACACUGACGCUGAGGUGCGAAAGCGUGGGUAGCAAACAGGAUUAGAUACCCGGGUAGUC